GUGAGAUCACACACUACACCCAGAGUUACACCCACUUCUUCUUCUUCUCUAAUUCACUAGCUGGGCCCACGUCCUCAUUUUAAGUUUGACAGCGUUUUAGUAGGUAAAGGUGAAUGCUUGGACAUUAAUUGAGAUGGGGUUUGGGGAAGGCCUCGGAGGGGACUGGCGACGGCUCCCAGUCCUUGCAGAUCCCCAUGUACUAAAUAGGAGUGAAGAAGUUUAAGAAUUGAGAACAAGGAGGCAGGGUGGGGCACGUAAACAACCGGAAGGAGCGUGUUUGGAGGCGUGGUCCUGCUCUUGAAAUUCCGAUACUUAAUCUCCAAUUAAGUUAGAAAUGCAUAAGACCGUCUAAGAAAGCAUACAACAGAUAAAGAAGUUAGACAAUGUAGCUGUAGAACAGUGCAACAGACCAUGAAAUGCAAAAUAUUUAGUCAGAGUUAAAAACAAACAAACAUUUUGAGACAUCAUUUAUGAGAUAUACCAUGACACGGAUAUGAGGUAAAGACUUUAAAGGGUUGAAUGUUUGAAGAGUUGCUGUUGUCACAUGACACAGUGUCACAUAUUACUGAGGAGUCAGGACGUUCUCGUCUUGACCGUGUAGGCGGAUCCUGAAGUUUCGUAUGCCACCGUCAGCUACACCAAGAACACCAACGGUAACACCAGAUUCGGGGUGAUGAUGACAAUGAUGUGACCUACUGCACUGUGAAGGCUCCUUUGUCUUCUGCUGCAGCCACUGCUGAUCCCGACAACCUCUACUCUACUGUCACCUUUCCAAUCACAUAGCACAAGCAGCUCACAAAAGGACUUGUAUAUAAUGGAAAAUCCUUUUUUUCAAUUUCACAUGGAGCAGCAUGGUAGCAACAUGCUAAUUAGCUGUUUUUUUAAAACCCAUAUAUAAAUAUAUGUCUACUUUUUUAAUGAAAAUAUAAUUGGUGCCUGGAAUACUUUACGUAAGUUAUGAGCUGUAGCAGAUGCUCCAAAAGAAGGCUGGCUAGAUAGAAAAUAUACAACCAUUACAUCAAACACUGGCAUUCCUGGCAGCUGGACUGCUACAUGACCCACAGCGUUCAAAGUCACGGUCCAAGGGCUUUGUGUUGCAUUUGAGUUUUGAAUCCCUGUCUCUGUCAUUCUAGUAAUGCUGAGCUUUAGUUUUUGUUGUAUUAUUUGAGUGCUUUACUUCCUCGUUCCUGCAUUUAAUUUUCUUGAAUUCUUGGCUUUUAUUUAGUGUUGGUGCCUAUUUUGAGAAUUUCUUCUUGUGUUUCUAGUUCCCUCGUGUUCCCUCUGUCUCAUCUAUGUGUUUGUAUCCUCUGUAAUCAUGUUUAGCCCUGUCUUUUCUUUUUUUCCUGUUUUAGUUAGUUAGUUAGCUUUCCUUUAGUCGUCCUAUUUAGCCAAAUAAAAUAACUCUCUUUGCUGUUUUUCCUGCAUUUGUGUCCUGUUCACAUCGACUCUAUGACAUUCACUUGUCAGUAUUCCUUUCAUUAAAUUUAAUAUGUAAUAUAAGUGUAUAUGUCUUUUAACCCAUUUGUUUAACGUCUUUCUUUAUGGAAGAGAGAUAUUUUAUAUUGUAUGAAAUCACUAAACUGAUCAACCAACACAAUAGAAGCACCUGUUUAUUUUAUUAUUGUUAUUGUUUACUUU
Oreochromis aureus is the source of this 1638-nucleotide long non-coding RNA. The record is from Ensembl. NCBI's taxonomy places the organism in Eukaryota, Metazoa, Chordata, Actinopteri, Cichliformes, Cichlidae.